GUAGUUUGAUCAUGGCUCAGAUUGAACGCUGGCGGCAUGCCUUACACAUGCGAAGUCGAACGGCGAGCAUGAUCUAGCUUGCUAGAUUGAUGGCGAGUGGCGAACGGGUGAGUAAUACAUCGGAACGUGCCCUGUAGUGGGGGAUAACUAGUCGAAAGAUUAGCUAAUACCGCAUACGACCUGAGGGUGAAAGUGGGGGACCGCAAGGCCUCAUGCUAUAGGAGCGGCCGAUGUCUGAUUAGCUAGUUGGUGGGGUAAAGGCCCACCAAGGCGACGAUCAGUAGCUGGUCUGAGAGGACGAUCAGCCACACUGGGACUGAGACACGGCCCAGACUCCUACGGGAGGCAGCAGUGGGGAAUUUUGGACAAUGGGCGAAAGCCUGAUCCAGCAAUGCCGCGUGUGUGAAGAAGGCCUGG
This 417-nucleotide ribosomal RNA is filed under the name uncultured microorganism. RNAcentral's name for it is "bacterial SSU rRNA". It matches the Rfam family "Bacterial small subunit ribosomal RNA", at positions 9 to 419 of the family's 1533-position model. The record is from RNAcentral.